Molecule: long non-coding RNA, 4368 nt
Organism: Salvelinus fontinalis (brook trout)
Lineage: Eukaryota; Metazoa; Chordata; Actinopteri; Salmoniformes; Salmonidae
Exons: 2
Source: RefSeq, a predicted model, not a curated record
GUGCCGCUGUUCACCACUAAAUCAUAGUUCAAAUAGCGGACCCAACCGUCAGAUAGCCACUGCAACUUUACCGCGACGCAACCUGCUGCUGACGCCGCCCGCAACCGGUGGUGGUGCCAGGACUUUUUUUUUUAAAACGCGCGCCUCCUUCCUCGCACAGGUGUGUUCUCUGUACGGAAGGGCUAUUUAGGAGGUGUGAGUGAACACGGGGAUCAAAUAUAAAUGUCCGAUGUAGUCACAGUAAGAUUGCUGAAGCUCUCAAAAUGUUUCAUUGAAAGAAAAAAAAAGACAUUAAUAUGCCAUAUCGUUGUUGUAUUUUAUGCUACUGCUUACUUUUCUUUUGUAAAAGGUGUAUUUAAGUCACGUUAUUACAUUCCUCAACCUAGAAUUGUACCCUUUAAAGAACAGCCUCCAGUGUAAUUUCUGCCAUUUGAAAUGUAACGAGGUCAAUAUAACGAUAUAAUUCUACACAACGUGAUUAAUCAAUCAGUUUGGACAUGAUGAAAAUAUAUUGACUUCCAUGGAAUGGAAACUAUUAAUUUAGUCAUUACACUAACUGACAAUAUCACAAAUCAAAGAGCUCGACAGAUUGGACAAAGGGAAUGGAUAGACUAACAGUGACCUCUGCUGGUGGCUGGAAGCAAUGGGUGACACACUUGUUACAGAACGGAGUUUAAUACGCAUAGGACUUCUGUAUGGGGUGGACUCUAACAACCUCAAGCGAGGAUUUAUCAAAAAUGACAGUCCACUUUCUGGAACACGUUUUUCUUGCUAUUUUAUUAGACGCGUAGAAAAAAAACUAAUCAAAUAGUAUACGUUGCAUAACCUACAGUAUAACCAAACAGGGCUUCAACAACACAGGUUUACAUAAUAGGCUAUAUAGUCAUUACAUAGCCUACUCGGAAGUUGCGAUCGUUUGAGAGGAACGAUGUUCAUUCAUAGGUCGCUCUGGAUAAGAUAAGUUAGAUAAGUUUGCUUCAGCAAACUGCCCCAAAAAUGUGAAAUGUAAAUCUCUUAUUCAUUCAGCAUCAAUGAUGAAUCUCAGAGGGGUUUGAUGCCGUCCGAUGAGGCAGCGAGCGGACGCCUGGAUUAAGUCCCAAACGCAACACAGCGACAGAUAGCUAAAAUGGCGUCGGAGGAAAAUAGCGCUGAUUCUCAGCAUGAGAAAUAAAUCCUCAUCAACGCGGGUUACGUUCAGGAGGUAAAGCAAGAGAGCCGAGUUGUCACUGAAAGCACCAAGGCCACACCAUCCAAACUGACAUUGUAUGAUUGGACACGGUCCUUCAAUUAUCAGAAGGUGAGUGUUUCAGCACCAUGCGGUUUCAGAAGAUCCGCCAUGGACAGCUCCUCAAGGGCAGCCUAUCAGGCGAUUGUCAGCAAGACAAAAGGAGCUGAUGGUGGACUACAGGAAACAGAUGGCUGAGCACGCUCCCAUUAACAUAGAGGGGGGCUGUACUGGAGCAAGUGGAAAGUUUGAAGUUCCUUGGUGUCCACCACAGGAGGUUGGUGACAUCUUAAUUGGGGAGGACGGGCUCGUGGUAAUGGCUGGAGCGGAAUCAGUGGAACGGUAUCACAUACAUCAAACAUCAAACUCACGGUUUCCAUGGUUUCCAUGUGUUUGAUGCCGUUCCAUUCAGUCCGUUCCAGCCAUUAUGCAUGAGCCGCCCUCCCCUCAACAGCCUCCUGUGACGUCCACAUCACUAAGGAUCUAUCAUGGUCCACACACACCAACACAGUAGUGAAAGAGGGUACAGAAACCCCAACCUCUUCCUCCUCAGGAGACUGAAGAGAUUUGGCAUGGGCCCUCAGAUCCUCAAAAAGUUCUACAGCUGCACCAUCGAGAGCAUCUUGACCGGCUGCGUCUCCACGUGGUGUGGCAACUGUUUUACAUCCGACUGCAAGGCAUUACAGAGGGUAAUGCAUACGGACCCAGUACGUCACUGGGUCCAAGUUCCCUACCAUCUAGGAGCCCUAUACCAAGCUGUGUCAGAGGAAGGCCCCCAGAAAUGGUAAAAGACUCCAGCCACUCAAGUCCUAGACUGUUCUCUCUGCUACCGAAUGCAAGCAGUACCGAUGCACCAAAUGUGGUACCAACAGGACCCUGAACAGCUUCUACCCACAAGACAUAAGACUGCUAAAUAGUUAGUUAAAUAGUUAGUUAAAUAGUUAGUUAAAUAGUUAGUUAAAUAGCUACCAGCACUAUCUGUAUUGACCCUUCUGCACUAUAUGUUUUGACUCUACCCAUGUGUUACUGUUACGGUUUAUUAUCUAUGGUGCUGCCGAGUCACUUUAUUCCUACCAACAGUAUAUGUACUAUAUCUACCUUCAUUACCUCGUACCUCUACAUAUGGACUCAGUACUGGUACCCUCAGUCGUGGUACCCCUCCUAGUUAUCAUUACUCAGUACUGGUACCCUGUGUAUAUAGCCUAGUUAUCAUUACUCAGUACUGGUACCCUGUGUAUAUAACCUAGUUAUCAUUACUCAGUACUGGUACCCUGUGUAUAUAGCCUAGUUAUCAUUACUAAUUGACUCAGUACUGGUACCCUGUGUAUAUAACCUAGUUAUCAUUACUGGUACCCUGUGUAUAUAACCUAGUUAUCAUUGACUCAGUACUGGUACCCUGUGUAUAUAUUCUAGUUAUCAUUACUCAGUACUGGUACCCUGUGUAUAUAACCUAGUUAUCAUUACUCAGUACUAGUACCCUGUGUAUAUAGCCUAGUUAUCAUUACUCAGUACUGGUACCCUGUGUAUAUAACCUAGUUAUCCAUACUCAGUACUGGUACAUAUAAUGGGGGUCCUAUGAACCCAGUUAUUACAUAUAAUGGGGGUCCUAUGAACUCUUGGCAGAAUCUUAUAUUACAUAUAUUUCACCUUGUUGCAGGUGAUUAGUUGUCUUGCUUCGAGCACAGCCUUUGUCCAAUUUGUAAUUUCUGGGCCUCUUCCCAGCUCUGUUUCCCAUAAUCUAAUCAGAGCACUUGAAUGACUUGUGUAUAGCAGCAUAACAUGAAAAAAAAUAUUUGUUACGGUCUUUUAGCUUUCAACAGGAGAUUGUCCGCUGGGGUUCGUAUUGGGUUCUGUGGGGGAGCACCAUCUUGGAUUCUAUAAAAUGUCUCACUUGCAGAUACUAUCACGACUCAUGAUAUGACCCAGAUGUAGAGACAGGACGCGGAUGUUUCAGUGCUCAGAUCAUUUAUGAUAACACAGAGGGCAGGCAAAGGGAAGGUCGAGGACAGGCAGAAAUUCAUUAACCAGGUCAGAAUCAGGCAGGUACAGAACGGCAGGCAGGCUCAGGGUCAGGCUCAGGGUCAGGGUCAGGGCAGGCAGAAAGGUCAGAAUCGGAAAAGCUAGAAACAAAAACUAGAGAGUAAGGAAAACCAGGAAACACGCUGGGACGACCUGACAAAACAGACCAACUGGCAACAGACCAACUGGCAACAGACCAACUGGCAAAAAACACAGGUAUAAGUACACAGGGGAUAAUGGGGGCAAAUGGGAGACACCUGGUGGUGUCCAUAAUGUCCAUCAUUUUUAUGAUUUUUUGUUGAAUUGCUCACCAGUUUCACCGGAAGUUGUCCCGCCAGCGGGGACAACUAGCCCUAAGAAGUUUUAAGCAGAGACGAAAAGUAAUCCUUUCUCUGAAGGUGUUUGCAAAUAUCUCUCCGGAUCUUAAAGGUACUGUUGAGAAUCGGGUUAUGUUUUCACUUCUGUGUUGACUGAGUUUCUGUCGCCAGUCAUAACCACUGAUUAAUGACUAUGUAGAUGUGAGGCAGGAGCCUGACCCAAUUAGAGCAAUGUUGAUCUCUGAGCCAUUCUGCAGUUAUGCGAGCAUGACAUGCCCAGUUAUAAAAUAGCAAAUUAGAUAGUGCCAGGCCACCUAAAUUAUAUGGUAGCUGCAGUGCGCUAAUUUUCAACCUUGGUCGUUUUCUGUACCACGUGAAGUCUGAGAGGUAUUUAUUUGAGGUCAUUAAAAGUAUUUUUCAUUAUAUAUAAUGGCACCAUCUGGAGAGGAUAAAGUCUGGGGGAAACGUUCAUUUGAAUUCAAUUAAUUCUACCCAAACGUGAUAUUGGCAGGUCCGUCCAUCUGUCUAAAGUCUUCCUUAUCUGUACAGGUGCAAAGUUGUUGUUACUCCAGUCCUCAAAGGGCCUGAUUAGUGUCACAGUUUAACCCCAGGUAGACAGAUUGUGACGUUUAAUUUUCAUGUGGUGCAUAAAUUGAUCCCUGCUGAACAACGCUCGCCGUAAAGAAAACCAGUAACAAUCACAUAGCUACCUUCAGAAUCUUUAACAAUCUGAUCCUGUGGAAAAGGUGGAUUUUUGUGGAUAAGAAUGGCAGCUCCUCUGCUUUUAAUAAACACUUUACCUAUCAA